UAUCCCAAGCUGCCGAGCCUGUUAAACUCCAAUUCCGAAUCCAGGAUGAUGGUGUGCCCGGUGAGGCCCGUCCUCUCGUCACCCGACAUGCCGCGCUUCGCGUCCGCCGGCCGCUGGCAGCAGCGGCCCGUUAGAAAAACGAUCCCGCUGGCGCAACACUCGUCGUCCUUCGUGGCGACGCGAAUCGAGCUGCCGGUGGUGGAUAUAACGUGCAACUACAAUUCUUAUCGUUACAAGUCCCUCGAGAAGAGCCUGAGGGAGCGAUACGGCGCGAACUACCCCCCGGGCGAGGUGGUGCUGAAUUACAUCCAAUUAAACACGCCGGAUUCGGGGACGGGGCGCGAGGAUAACGUCGGUGAUGAUCUUCUCGACUUCUUCGGCGGCGGCAAUGCCGGCGCGUACUCGUCGUCGGUGUCGACGAGGCUGGAAACGGAAUAUCUGAAUCUCCUGGAUCACUUCGUAUCGCGGGAGCGGGGGAGGGCUCUGACCGCGGGCAAGUUUACCGAGACGCUCUCGCUCGCGGAUGAAAGAAAUGUUGAGCUGUCGUCCCACGCCGGUACAUGGAGCUCUCAGUCUACUUUGGGAAGCUCAGUCGCUCAGGAAGGGGAAUCCAGGUCGCCCUCGAAAGGUAAGAGGAUAAUGAUCUGUCCAGGUAUUGAAUACAGCCAGGGUGGCGGCGGCGGCGCAAAUAGACGUCUCAGCAGCUUGCAGAGGGUGCUUAGGCGAUAGUGCGAAGCGGUUCGAUCGCGGGAAAGGCGGUAAUCCCAUCUGCGAACCCCGGGCCAACCGGCAAUCUGUCAUGAAGUCGAAGGAGAACACACAGGAAAAUGAGCGGGACCCGGCGAAAGAGCGCUCCGCCUGCCGAGCGCUUAAGCUAUCAAAGCGAAGUUGAAGCCCCGAAGCGAUUUUCGGCGCAGCAAUGGAUAGCGGGAAAAACGGGAUUUGGAACGGGUUUGAUGCAUUUCCAUUCGAUGGCAUCUCGAUCUUACGGGACAAAAAUAUAAUUAAUUUCCCGGAGGAUAUAAAACGUUCGGCGGGACAGCGGGAUGCAAGAUGUAGCCCAUUGACAAAAUUGUCGUUGUGUAUUACAGGCCAUUUCGAAAUGGAACAAAUAAAUCCUCUGUCGUUGUGUAUAUUUAAAUGUACCCGCGCGCGUUGGCGAUAAAAUAAAAUUACAUCUAAUUUUACUUUAUCGAUCCGAUACUUUUAUUAUUCGAUAUCUGGCGACCGCCACCAAACGGGUUGAUCAAUUUUAUUUCCCAUUGGAUAUAUAUUUUGGCGACUUUUUAUAACUCGGAAAAAACAGAUUUGUCAUACAAACACGCAGUUUCGCCCGACUAUUUGUCUGCCUGUAACCAGCAUGGUCGACGUAAACGUCAAGCAUUACGAUAAAAUACUACGUUCGAAAUAAAGCUGGAGAGUUAACGUCAUCGUAUACCAUCGCCAAAUAUGGAUAUUUAAUAGUUUCGCGACGGACAGGAGAUUGUUUUUCAGAUGUUUGCCGAACGAUACGCGACGACAAAAAUAUUUUACCUUCGCUCACUGAUUACACGUCGCGAACAAAUUCCUCUGGGCACGUUUGUACGUCAAUCACUCGCAGUCGAUUAUCAUUUUUCAAUUAAUUAGUAAAAGUUCCAUUUUAUUCCACUUUCAAACUUUAUAUUAACGUUGUCGCUUCCUCUCCCGUUUCCGUCUCUCUAUUCUUAACUGUUUUAUUCUCUCCCGCUCUUAUAUUAUUUUCACGCUUUAAAUUUGUCGCGGUGUAACGACAAUUGUGCGACUGUUGCAACGAUCGUUCAUGUUAGUUUUCUAUUCAGAAUAUA
Vollenhovia emeryi is the source of this 1823-nucleotide RNA transcript. RefSeq lists it as uncharacterized. The record is from RefSeq and is a predicted model, not a curated record. NCBI's taxonomy places the organism in Eukaryota, Metazoa, Arthropoda, Insecta, Hymenoptera, Formicidae. The transcript has 3 exons.